This 378-nucleotide ribosomal RNA is filed under the name uncultured eukaryote. Its description in RNAcentral is "partial 18S ribosomal RNA". It matches the Rfam family "Eukaryotic small subunit ribosomal RNA", at positions 592 to 976 of the family's 1831-position model. The record is from RNAcentral.
CAAUAGCGUAUAUUUAAGUUGUUGCAGUUAAAAAGCUCGUAGUUGGAUUUCGGGUGGGACGCAGCGGUCUCGCAUUGCGUUUGUACUGCUGCAGCCCUCCUUCUUGCCGGGGGCGGCCUCUCGGACUUCACUGUCUGGGAGUCAGAAUCGGCGAUGUUACUUUGAGUAAAUUAGAGUGUUCAAAGCAAGCUUACGCUCUGAAUAUAAUAGCAUGGGAUAACACGACAGGACUCUGGCCUAUCGUGUUGGUCUAUAGGACCAGAGUAAUGAUUAAGAGGGACAGUCGGGGGCAUUCGUAUUCCGUUGUCAGAGGUGAAAUUCUUGGAUUUACGGAAGACGAACAUCUGCGAAAGCAUUUGCCAAGGAUGUUUUCAUUGA